GUUGAACGCUGGCGGCAGGCCUAACACAUGCAAGUCGAGCGGAUAAAGGGAGCUUGUUCCUGGAUUCCGCGGCGGGCGGGUGUGUAAUGCCCAUGAGUCUGCCUGCUUUUGGGGUAUAACAUCCGGAAACGGCCGCUAAUACCACAUGCGUCCUGAUGGUGCAACUGGGUGGUCUUUGGAACUCUCCCUCUCAGGUGGGCCUAGGUCGGACUAGCUAGUUUGUUGGGUAAGGGCCUACCAAGGCGACGAUCCGUAACUAGUCUGAGAGGAUGAUCAGUCACACUGGAACUGAGACACGGUCCUGACGCCUACGGGAGGCAGCAGUGGGGAAUGUUAGGCAAUGGGCGAAAGCCUGACCCAGCGGUGCCGAGCGUGUGAAGAAGGUCUUCGGAUCGUAAAGCACUCUAAGGGGGGAGGAAGGGCUGUCAGUUGAGACCUAGCGGGAUUGACGUUACCAACAGAAGAAGCACCGGCUAACUACGUG
This 484-nucleotide ribosomal RNA is filed under the name uncultured bacterium. RNAcentral describes it as "partial 16S ribosomal RNA". It matches the Rfam family "Bacterial small subunit ribosomal RNA", at positions 28 to 507 of the family's 1533-position model. The record is from RNAcentral.